RNAcentral lists this ribosomal RNA (434 nucleotides) under uncultured bacterium. RNAcentral describes it as "bacterial SSU rRNA". It matches the Rfam family "Bacterial small subunit ribosomal RNA", at positions 25 to 507 of the family's 1533-position model. The record is from RNAcentral.
CAGAACGAACGCUGGCGGCAGGCUUAACACAUGCAAGUCGAGCGCCCCGCAAGGGGAGCGGCAGACGGGUGAGUAACGCGUGGGAAUCUACCUAGUUCUACGGAACAACUCAGGGAAACUUGAGCUAAUACCGUAUACGCCCUUCGGGGGAAAGAUUUAUCGGAAUUAGAUGAGCCCGCGUCUGAUUAGCUAGUUGGUGGGGUAAGAGCCCACCAAGGCGACGAUCAGUAGCUGGUCUGAGAGGAUGAUCAGCCACAUUGGGACUGAGACACGGCCCAAACUCCUACGGGAGGCAGCAGUGGGGAAUAUUGGACAAUGGGCGAAAGCCUGAUCCAGCCAUGCCGCGUGAGUGAUGAAGGCCCUAGGGUUGUAAAGCUCUUUUGACGGGGAAGAUAAUGACGGUACCCGUAGAAUAAGCCCCGGCUAACUUCGUG